RNAcentral lists this ribosomal RNA (504 nucleotides) under uncultured bacterium. RNAcentral describes it as "partial 16S ribosomal RNA". It matches the Rfam family "Bacterial small subunit ribosomal RNA", at positions 30 to 523 of the family's 1533-position model. The record is from RNAcentral.
AUUGAACGCUGGCGGCAUGCCUUACACAUGCAAGUCGAACGGCAGCAUGGAGAGCUUGCUCUCUGAUGGCGAGUGGCGAACGGGUGAGUAAUGCAUCGGAACGUACCGUGUAAUGGGGGAUAACGUAGCGAAAGUUACGCUAAUACCGCAUACGACCUGAGGGUGAAAGCAGGGGAUCGCAAGACCUUGCGUUAUACGAGCGGCCGAUGUCAGAUUAGCUAGUUGGUGAGGUAAAGGCUCACCAAGGCGACGAUCUGUAGCGGGUCUGAGAGGAUGAUCCGCCACACGGGGACUGAGCCACGGCCCAGACUCCUACGGGAGGCAGCAGUGGGGAAUUUUGGACAAUGGGGGCAACCCUGAUCCAGCCAUGCCGCGUGAGUGAAGAAGGCCUUCGGGUUGUAAAGCUCUUUCGGCCGGGAAGAAAUCGCACAGGCUAAUACUCUGUGUGGAUGACGGUACCGGCAUAAGAAGCACCGGCUAACUACGUGCCAGCAGCCGCCGUAA